UACGUAGGGGGCUAGCGUUGUCCGGAUUUAUUGGGCGUAAAGAGCGUGUAGGCGGCCAGGUAGGUCUGCUGUGAAAACUCGAGGCUCAACCUCGAGACGUCGGCGGAAACCAUCUGGCUAGAGUCCGGAAGAGGAGAGUGGAAUUCCUGGUGUAGCGGUGAAAUGCGCAGAUAUCAGGAAGAACACCCGUGGCGAAGGCGGCUCUCUGGUACGGAACUGACGCUGAGACGCGAAAGCGUGGGGAGCGAACAGG
RNAcentral lists this ribosomal RNA (253 nucleotides) under uncultured bacterium. RNAcentral describes it as "partial 16S ribosomal RNA". It matches the Rfam family "Bacterial small subunit ribosomal RNA", at positions 524 to 776 of the family's 1533-position model. The record is from RNAcentral.